UUCCAUUGUCAAGUCUGCUGAGAAUUCACGCAGGGCCAACCCCGGAGACUGCUCUCUCUUCAGUUCCUAAGAUGGAAAGAAUGAAAGUCUGAAUCUUAUUAAGCAGAUCCACAGGACUUGGACUGAAGGAGAUAUGAAAACACAAUUUUAUGUUCAAGUCUGGGAAGGAAAAAUAACAUCAGAGUGAGCCAGACGUAUUCUGAAUCCCUUCAGCAACUACACAGCAAGACCUACACGGCGUAUUUGUGCAUCUUGUGCCAAUUCCUAGUUAUGUGGAGACAAAAGGAGCACGUGCAUAACCUCAGUCCUUGCUAGACUGAAGGCCUCUGCUUGCAGGAGCGUUCAGGGUGACGGGGCGCACCAGGCGAAGAUGUGGCUCUUAUCCUCCAACAAGCAAGUGCCAAGUACAUCAAUUUCCCAGACAGUGAACUAAGCCAUCAAUUGAACAUCUGCACAAGAGGCGUCUCGGCGAUGGUUCCCUCUACAUGGCUCACACCCAUCUCCUGUAAAGGAUGCCAAGAGUUGUUGGGAGGUUGAGUAUAUGGGAAAGUGUUUUGGAAAGAAUUACU
Tupaia belangeri chinensis (Chinese tree shrew) is the source of this 569-nucleotide long non-coding RNA. RefSeq lists it as uncharacterized. The transcript has 3 exons. The record is from RefSeq and is a predicted model, not a curated record. NCBI's taxonomy places the organism in Eukaryota, Metazoa, Chordata, Mammalia, Scandentia, Tupaiidae.